Molecule: long non-coding RNA, 252 nt
Filed under: Trifolium pratense (red clover)
Lineage: Eukaryota; Viridiplantae; Streptophyta; Magnoliopsida; Fabales; Fabaceae
Description: long non-coding RNA (TPRA_LNC004873)
Source: RNAcentral
AUAGAAGGGCGUACAAAUUAUCUAAGAAAUAUCAACAACAAAAGGAAGGACAAGGCGACAAGCAAGCAAAGAGUAUGAGUCAGCAACAAACAGGCGACAUAGAACCACGCCGAGACAUAAUAAUUGCCAAGUGACUUCAUUCACAAGCACUUCGCCUUCUUGAAGCCUCGUGCUUGGGGGGCUGUGUACCGGGCCAUGGACCAGGGUGUGAUUUGUUAAGGCCCAAUACGAAAAAGCCCAAUGAGAGCAUCU